RNAcentral lists this ribosomal RNA (1299 nucleotides) under Staphylococcus sp. Its description in RNAcentral is "bacterial SSU rRNA". The record is from RNAcentral. Lineage: Bacteria; Bacillati; Bacillota; Bacilli; Caryophanales; Staphylococcaceae.
AGGAUGAACGCUGGCGGCGUGCCUAAUACAUGCAAGUCGAGCGAACAGACGAGGAGCUUGCUCCUCUGACGUUAGCGGCGGACGGGUGAGUAACACGUGGAUAACCUACCUAUAAGACUGGGAUAACUUCGGGAAACCGGAGCUAAUACCGGAUAAUAUAUUGAACCGCAUGGUUCAAUAGUGAAAGACGGUUUUGCUGUCACUUAUAGAUGGAUCCGCGCCGCAUUAGCUAGUUGGUAAGGUAACGGCUUACCAAGGCAACGAUGCGUAGCCGACCUGAGAGGGUGAUCGGCCACACUGGAACUGAGACACGGUCCAGACUCCUACGGGAGGCAGCAGUAGGGAAUCUUCCGCAAUGGGCGAAAGCCUGACGGAGCAACGCCGCGUGAGUGAUGAAGGUCUUCGGAUCGUAAAACUCUGUUAUUAGGGAAGAACAAAUGUGUAAGUAACUAUGCACGUCUUGACGGUACCUAAUCAGAAAGCCACGGCUAACUACGUGCCAGCAGCCGCGGUAAUACGUAGGUGGCAAGCGUUAUCCGGAAUUAUUGGGCGUAAAGCGCGCGUAGGCGGUUUUUUAAGUCUGAUGUGAAAGCCCACGGCUCAACCGUGGAGGGUCAUUGGAAACUGGAAAACUUGAGUGCAGAAGAGGAAAGUGGAAUUCCAUGUGUAGCGGUGAAAUGCGCAGAGAUAUGGAGGAACACCAGUGGCGAAGGCGACUUUCUGGUCUGUAACUGACGCUGAUGUGCGAAAGCGUGGGGAUCAAACAGGAUUAGAUACCCUGGUAGUCCACGCCGUAAACGAUGAGUGCUAAGUGUUAGGGGGKUUCCGCCCCUUAGUGCUGCAGCUAACGCAUUAAGCACUCCGCCUGGGGAGUACGACCGCAAGGUUGAAACUCAAAGGAAUUGACGGGGACCCGCACAAGCGGUGGAGCAUGUGGUUUAAUUCGAAGCAACGCGAAGAACCUUACCAAAUCUUGACAUCCUCUGACCCCUCUAGAGAUAGAGUUUUCCCCUUCGGGGGACAGAGUGACAGGUGGUGCAUGGUUGUCGUCAGCUCGUGUCGUGAGAUGUUGGGUUAAGUCCCGCAACGAGCGCAACCCUUAAGCUUAGUUGCCAUCAUUAAGUUGGGCACUCUAAGUUGACUGCCGGUGACAAACCGGAGGAAGGUGGGGAUGACGUCAAAUCAUCAUGCCCCUUAUGAUUUGGGCUACACACGUGCUACAAUGGACAAUACAAAGGGCAGCGAAACCGCGAGGUCAAGCAAAUCCCAUAAAGUUGUUCUCAGUUCGGAUUGUAGUCU